RNAcentral lists this microRNA precursor (697 nucleotides) under Salvelinus alpinus (Arctic char). Its description in RNAcentral is "miR-19c_18b*_20b". The record is from RNAcentral. Lineage: Eukaryota; Metazoa; Chordata; Actinopteri; Salmoniformes; Salmonidae.
GUUGUGAGCAGCAGUAGUGUGCCAUUUAUCCACCAAUUAUUCUGGUUCUCCAGCUAAGGUGCAUCUAGUGUAGUUAGUGAAAUAGUCUAGUAUCUACUGCCCUAGUUGCUCCUUCUGGCUGGAGCACUUGUAUCYCAACUCUGGACAUUUGGUGUCAGCAGUUUCAUCUGUUUCCUGUCACUAUUAUUUUCUGACCUGUGAGCUAGCAUAUGUCACAAUUUGGAAUUAAGUGUUAUAUUUUGAAAACAUUUUAGUAUAAAAAGUAAAUACCACUACCUCACUGCAUGUUCUUUCAUAUUUCUGGUAUUAUGUAUUAGUCAUAAGUUAUCAGACUUUUUUUGUAGUUUGUGUCAAGUUUUGUUGGGGUAUUCCAAGUUCUAGAAUAUUCUAUGUUGUAUUGUCCUGGCAGUUCCAAAGUGCUCACAGUGCAGGUAGUUUAAAUGGACCUACUGCAGUGUGUGCACUUCAAGUAUUGCCGGUCACCCUCCCUUUGAAGCUCACUACUGAGACCACCUUGAAGAGAUCCAUGGCACAUCAUGGGUUUACUGUGAGUUUUGCAGGUUUGCUUUCAGCUUCUGAAAAUAUCCGCUGUGCAAAUCCAUGCAAAACUCUCUGUACCUGAGAGACUCAACAAACAGAGAAGAGCUUCUGUUCCCCUGGGUCCCGUUGUAUUGUUUUAUAUUGUUCAGAAAACUGC